This 351-nucleotide long non-coding RNA is filed under the name Pan troglodytes (chimpanzee). Its description in RNAcentral is "long non-coding RNA NONPTRT015507". Lineage: Eukaryota; Metazoa; Chordata; Mammalia; Primates; Hominidae. The record is from RNAcentral.
CUGAAUUAGUGUGACUGAACAAAUGAAUGAACUGAGUAAAUGAAUAGGGCGGGUUUUGAGGAGGUAGUCAGACCCUAACUGAUUCUGCCCAACUACCCCCUUCAUUUAUGCUUAGAUUUCAGAGUUUGAUACAUAGUUUACAUGGGUGUUUUUAUGUCUCAUAGGCACCUAUAAAAAUAAUGAUUGUCAUUCAUUUAAUUUCCCAAGUAAUCAAGAACCACAAGUCCUUUUGCAUCAAAUCCUUAUUGAAGAAUGUCUUUAUGAUAACAGGUAGAAGAAGUUCAUUAUGAUGUCCAGAUCAUUAUGCAGUCUAUACAAUAUUAACUCUUCAAUAGCUAUGAAGGUGCUUAA